CGGGCGGACGGGACGGGACGGGACGGUCGAGCAAGCGGCGACGAUUUGGCAACGGCUUUUAUGGCUUUCGUUGCGAUCGGCUGGAAACGACUCGACUCGAACCGCCGCGCCGCGGAUCCCCGCAUCGACGAAUUUUCAUACGCGCGUCCGUGUGCCCGUUGGACUCGCGCGAGCCUGUGUGCACGUAUUUCGGAAACGAGGCCGAUGUAUUCUGAAAACCUGGGGGGAAAGACUGUCGCUCCCACAAUAAACGAACGCGCGUCGGGGAUCGCGGCGGCGCACGGUUUUCUGGACGCGUUCGACCGCGACGCCGGAAACUCUGAAGACAGGUGUUCGACGUGGAUUGCCUCGCGGAGCAUUCCACUCUGUUCCUGUGAAAAGCGGGAGCAACGUAAUCACGCCCACCCGGAAUGCUUCGCGCCGAGAGAGAAGCUUCUCGCCGCUGGAUUUUAACCCCUUGGAGUCUGUCGGGACGUAAUUGUGUCCCAUCUACGUAUUUCGUACGAUAAUUGGGGGAGAAACGAAGCCCGUUUUUCCACCGUACACGAAUAUAUAUUAUCGGUCUUAGAACGUAUUACGCGCGCAUACUUUGUUUACACGUAACGACAUAACCUCUCGGUUCGGCGGCGAAGUCGGGCCAGCCAGCACGUGCUAAAUUGUACAGUAUCCGGAUUUGUAUUAUUGUCCAAGCUGCGUUGAAUCUACUCUUUAAGAGUCCGACUGCCGGGUGCUACACCGGGGCAGAAGAAGAGGCCCGCGCCGGUAAUUACGCAACCUGUCAGUUCUAUGCCGCGUUUUCCGUGACCGCGGCAUGUACAGUCUACGCCGAAAACCGACGCGGACCGACGGAAAAAUCUUCCGCGGCGCUGUCGUUGCUGCCGAUCGGGAAAUCUUCGUAAUCGGAGAUAGCGAAAUUAAUUAAGACUGUUAUUUAUUAUUUAUGUAUCGUUAUGAACGUUGUUAUUAAUAUAAUUGUUAUUAUAAUAUGAUA
Long non-coding RNA from Megalopta genalis, 991 nucleotides. RefSeq lists it as uncharacterized. The record is from RefSeq and is a predicted model, not a curated record. NCBI's taxonomy places the organism in Eukaryota, Metazoa, Arthropoda, Insecta, Hymenoptera, Halictidae.